CGCGGAGCCGCAUCCCGAGGACCCGGACGAGCCGCCCGGCCGGCCGGCGGUGGCCGCCAACGCGUCGCUGUCGGGCGCCGAUGACUGCGUCGAGCUGAGGCAGACCGAGAAGAAGGGCCGUCAUAUUGUGACGUCACGGAUGGUUCCGAAGGGGUCCGUGCUGUUUGUGGAGGAGCCGUACAUCUGUGUGUUAUUGCCCACACGCCGUCUCGACCAUUGCCACCACUGCAUCAAGCAAACGCAUGCCCUUGUACCGUGUUCCCGCUGUCGGGACGUGGGCUUCUGCAGCGCCGCCUGCCGGAGCGCCGCUGACGCCAUCUACCACGCGGCCGAGUGCGGACACGCCAGCUUC
This is a long non-coding RNA of Pollicipes pollicipes, 352 nucleotides long. RefSeq lists it as uncharacterized. The transcript is spliced from 3 exons. The record is from RefSeq and is a predicted model, not a curated record. NCBI's taxonomy places the organism in Eukaryota, Metazoa, Arthropoda, Thecostraca, Pollicipedomorpha, Pollicipedidae.